AAGACCUAAAAUUUUCUUGAAAUUUGCUGGUAGUACUGCUUUGUGCUUCUCUUCCAUGUACUUUGCUAUGGCAUAUGGACUCGACCCACUCUCAUCAUUCAAAGCCAAUAUAGCCUCCUUAAUCAUCUGCAAUAAUAAUCCCAACUUAAAUUAAACAUCAAUACAAAUAAAAGUAACAGCUAGCGCAUGCGUGUAGGAAAUAAAAAACCAGGAACACGAAGAAACAUAGAAAUACCUAAAAAUAAGGAGGAUGGGCGGCAGGUUUUUGGUUAGCGCAUGCUUGUAAUAAAAACCAGGAACCUGAAGAAACAUUGAAAUACCUGAAAAUAAGGAGGAUGAGCAGCAGGUUUUGGUUUAGGUUGUCUAGGCUUCUUUUCUCUGGGAGUCCUUGGCUUCUUUCCUUUAACGGGAUUCUCCUCCACCUUAGGCUCCUCCGUGGCAGUUGGUUGCUCCACGACUGGAGCCUCAGUUUCAGCUUCUUCGGUGGCUGUCAUCG
Molecule: long non-coding RNA, 496 nt
Filed under: Populus tremula
Lineage: Eukaryota; Viridiplantae; Streptophyta; Magnoliopsida; Malpighiales; Salicaceae
Description: long non-coding RNA (PTRE_LNC002713)
Source: RNAcentral